Molecule: ribosomal RNA, 255 nt
Filed under: uncultured bacterium
Lineage: Bacteria
Description: partial 16S ribosomal RNA
Rfam family: Bacterial small subunit ribosomal RNA
Source: RNAcentral
GACAGAGGGUGCAAACGUUUGUUCGGAAUUACUGGGCGUAAAGCGAGUGUAGGCGGUGUGGUAAGUCGGAUGUGAAAGCCCCGGGCUCAACCCGGGAAGUGCACUCGAUACUGCCACGCUAGAGUAUCGGAGAGGUUGGUGGAAUUCUCGGUGUAGAGGUGAAAUUCGUAGAUAUCGGGAGGAACACCGGUGGCGAAGGCGGCGAUCUGGGUCGAUACUGACGCUGAGGCACGGAAAGCGUGGGGAGCAAACAGG